UUGGAAAGAGACAAAAGAUGAUAAGGUCCCUAGAGGUGAGAAAGUGUGAAACACACACCAGGCCAACUACCUGUGAAGGUACACUCCAAAACUCCUGCAAUGUCCAUCACUCCUGAUUUGUCGUAUGAAGUGCAUGAGGUAAAACAGACUAAUAAAAUUUUAAAGGAAACUGGAAAAAGAAAAACAGUUUUACAAUAGAGCCACAGCAUUCAACAAUCUUCAGCUUGAAUCACAUUUAGAGAUAUGUCUCAACAGCCUCAUCUUAUGGAGCUACCAUUCGCUCUGACUUUUUCCAGGUACAAUGGACCACAAUCAUCAGGCUUGCAUGACUGGAGGAAGUGAAAAGCCCAGAGGACAACUGAAGUCAUUUCCCUGCUAG
Molecule: long non-coding RNA, 379 nt
Organism: Polypterus senegalus (gray bichir)
Lineage: Eukaryota; Metazoa; Chordata; Cladistia; Polypteriformes; Polypteridae
Exons: 4
Source: RefSeq, a predicted model, not a curated record